Long non-coding RNA from Halichondria panicea, 2052 nucleotides. RefSeq lists it as uncharacterized. Lineage: Eukaryota; Metazoa; Porifera; Demospongiae; Suberitida; Halichondriidae. The record is from RefSeq and is a predicted model, not a curated record. The transcript has 4 exons.
GUUGCAUAUGGGGUCAGAGAUCAGAAAGCCAUGUGGACUCACUGAAAACUGUACUAGAUAUCAUGCAAGAUGAAGGCAGCCUUGAUAGCAGCCACGGUCCUCACACUCGCGUCUGCUCCCUUCAUAAAGCCAGCUCUCUGGGGAAGCUGAAGGUACCGGUGGUUUUACUUCCCUAUGUCCUCUCCAGCACUGGAGUCAAGGUCAACUUCACUCUGAGCUCCCCUCAAGGUUGCUUCUUUUGGUGUUGGCAAGUCCACCCUCCUCCGCUCUAUGGCGUGUCAUGAGCUGCGUCUACCAGCUGGUGUGAGUGUACUACACGUGGAGCAAGAGGUCACCGGGGACAACACACUAGCACUGGAUAGUGUACUCGAGUGUAACACUGAAAGAGUGCAGCUGCUCGCUAGAGAGGGAGAGCUACUGCAUGGCCUCAGGGGACAAGAACACAGCAGCAGGCUGGUCUGUGUACCUUGGGGUGGGGGGAGGUGUUUUAAGUACAGUAAAAUUACAAUAAUGACCAAAUUUGUGAUUUUCUGAUUUUCUGAAAGCUUAGAAAGAGACCUUUCAAAUGGUGUCAUCAAAGUUUAUAUUUGAGAGAUAAAAGUAUUUGCCAAUUUGGCCAUACCAUGAAAAAUAGCCCAUGGUCCAAGGCGGAAAAUUACAAAUUAGGGCCCCAACAAAAUUUUUGAUCGAAACACAUCAUUUGAAAGGUCUCUUUCUAAGCUUUCAGAAAAUCAUAACAUUUUUGACAUUGGAUCAACGGUAUUAAAGUUAAUGGCUGUUGAAAAAUCAGGUUUGUUUUUAGAGCUAUCUUUUAGAGGCCAUAACUUGUAUUAGGAACGUCCUAUUUAAAAAACUCAAAGACGCAUUCUGUAGCUUUGAGAAAGCACUAUUGUAUACAAUUAAAGUGUCUUAAAACCGCUAAUUGCUCGCAGUGCCAAAGCUCACUAAUUUGUGUGUCCUAUGCUGUAGAUGUGGGAACACGGAACCAUCGUCGGUUGUGUGCAGUGUAUUAUAGUCGUACCCCCGGGUUUGAAGUGUCCAUGGACUACUGGACCAUGUCAUGUAGCUGCUGGAGGUGUCCUUCACCAAAGAUGGCAGUAGAUACUUCCUCAAGGCAGCUAAAGACUCUACCUAGUUCCCGGGCCGUUGUGCAGAGGUGUGUGUAUGUGGGAAGGUGAUUAGGAAACUGGGCAUGCUCCAUCCUGGUGUGUCUGUUGUGCAGCUCUAGUGUGUGUGAGACUGGGAGGUGUGUCUGGUGCAGCUGUUCUCACGGCCUCCUCCAACCAGUACCUGCCCUCCGUACUCUCCAGGGAGAACCUAUCUCCUCAGGCCUACUAUGCUGCUCACUCUAACUGACUCUUACGAUUAUUCUAGUAUUCAUAAUGUAAGUACGUACAUAUUGUAUACCAGUACAUGUGUUGUGUGUGGUGUCCCUAUAGUUGAGUGUGAGUGUGAGAGGCCAUAUAUAUAAGGAGGACAUACGUGUGUCGAGGCUGGAGGUGGCCCGUGUGCUGAGGGAGAGAAAUGAGUACAAAGAGAAGUACCUCUCACUAUUGGAGCAGAUUAGGUAAAGGGUCAUCGUGUAGUGUUUGUAAAGCGGUCAUUAUAACUUUAAUAACUGCUAAUACAUACUAACACUGUGUAUCCAGAGGAGGUUCGACAGGUGCAGUGCAGCUCAAGCAAUUAGUCUCUGAUUACACGCUUGCAUGAGCGGAUAAUUAGUGUUCAUGCAAUCAAAGGCUAAUACAUACUAACACUGUGUAUUUGUACUAACAAUGUUAGUUGAUUAAUAAUAAUGUUUCUCUGUUGCACAGGAUGAGUGCUGACUCGGCUCUGUUUAAGUCCAAGAGCAAGAAAUCAAAGUGGCUCGACUAGUGAGUUGUGUCACGUCAGUUAGUGUGUAGAGUUGUAGUGAAGCUUUUCUUAUUCUAGUCACUCUAUAGAGAUUAUUAUAGAAUACAGUCAGGUUAAUUAAUGGACUCCAUAGCGGACCUAUGCCACCUCUAGAGUACAGCUAUACUGUUUCACUGUAUAUCUUGAAGUAAGAUUAUA